Molecule: ribosomal RNA, 424 nt
Filed under: uncultured Bacteroides sp.
Lineage: Bacteria; Pseudomonadati; Bacteroidota; Bacteroidia; Bacteroidales; Bacteroidaceae
Description: bacterial SSU rRNA
Rfam family: Bacterial small subunit ribosomal RNA
Source: RNAcentral
CCUACGGGAGGCAGCAGUGAGGAAUAUUGGUCAAUGGGCGAGAGCCUGAACCAGCCAAGUAGCGUGCAGGAUGACGGCCCUAUGGGUUGUAAACUGCUUUUAUAAGGGAAUAAAGUGAGUCUCGUGAGACUUUUUGCAUGUACCUUAUGAAUAAGGACCGGCUAAUUCCGUGCCAGCAGCCGCGGUAAUACGGAAGGUCCGGGCGUUAUCCGGAUUUAUUGGGUUUAAAGGGAGCGCAGACGGGUCGUUAAGUCAGCUGUGAAAGUUUGGGGCUCAACCUUAAAAUUGCAGUUGAUACUGGCGUCCUUGAGUGCGGUUGAGGUGUGCGGAAUUCGUGGUGUAGCGGUGAAAUGCUUAGAUAUCACGAAGAACUCCGAUUGCGAAGGCAGCUCACUGGAGCGCAACUGACGCUGAAGCUCGAAAG